GGAAAUGUGCCCGAAACUUAAGGAUUACUUUGAUAGAGUAAGACACAGAGGUUAAAAUCCUCUCAUUUCCC
RNAcentral lists this transfer RNA (71 nucleotides) under Plestiodon japonicus. RNAcentral's name for it is "tRNA-Ile". It matches the Rfam family "tRNA". Rfam says of the family: Transfer RNA (tRNA) molecules are approximately 80 nucleotides in length. Their secondary structure includes four short double-helical elements and three loops (D, anti-codon, and T loops). Lineage: Eukaryota; Metazoa; Chordata; Lepidosauria; Squamata; Scincidae. The record is from RNAcentral.